This is a long non-coding RNA of Corythoichthys intestinalis (scribbled pipefish), 1982 nucleotides long. RefSeq lists it as uncharacterized. The record is from RefSeq and is a predicted model, not a curated record. The transcript is spliced from 3 exons. NCBI's taxonomy places the organism in Eukaryota, Metazoa, Chordata, Actinopteri, Syngnathiformes, Syngnathidae.
UCAAUUUUCAUCAACCUGUUGUGAACACUACUUUUAAAUAAGUAAGUAGUAAUUUGGGGUUGGAGAACUUGCUUAACUUGAUAUAUCCCAGUUAAGUCAAAUUAGAAAAAAUAAUUUCUUGUACCCAGUGUCCUUUGGGCGUUCUAUCAGACAUGCGCAGAUCUGCCCUGCCCACUUUCGCGCUCUUUCCAACACCUUUCUCAGUUAUUUUCGCCAUUGUGGGUUUACUUGUCCUCAGUACACUGAUUUGGCACUGCUGCAAUCGUCACACUUUUUCUGUUACAAACUGACCCGGCCCCUCAUCAGAGAAGGGAAAAGUCAUGUGGCCUUCACAGGAAAAGGUUUGGGGACCCCUGCUUUAGAGUGUUUGUCAUCUGCCCUUCCAUUUGCUUUUCUUCAUGUGCAGUGCUCCCCCUCCAUGUUUGAUCAAACUGCACUGAUAAUUUGAAAUUGUUUUAAAAUGCAUUAAUCGCAAAAAUCAGAGGACUAGAUCACAUUUCCCCCUGUUAUUUCACCACUUUAACUUUGGUCUAACCUAAUAUAGGAAUACAGAUAGAAAGAGUGCAGAGAUCACACUCGACGCCAUAACAACCUGGUGUGUUUAAGGUUGGUCAUUUAUGUGCCUAUAUUUUGAAAUUGUUGCCUUAAUUUUGUGUUCUUUUUCACCAUCCCCCAAUCAGGCUGAAGCAAAUGGUCAAAAGUCCACACAUACCUCAGUCUCAGCAAUUACAGGUCAACCAAAGCAGUAUUCUCUAAUGCAGUGGACUUGCAAGUACUGCACAUUUUCUGCUGAAAAGAGCCUACUUGCUUAAGCAUUACCGCUUAAAACAUGGAUACCACACUCGGACAUCCCUACUCCCAUGUCUUCAUAAGGACUGCCUCUGCACAUUUAAAUCUUUUAAUGCACUCAAAGUACACCUAUCGACAUGGCACUCUCAAAAAGAUGCAGGCAAAAGUGGAGAAACUGCAUUUGACCGUCAGUUGUGCAACUUUGUGGAGCCCUGCUCAGAAGCAGACUUCUUUACCCAUUUGCGAGGACAUCUUAAGCUGAGGCAAAUGGUUACUUGCCCAUAUCAAGACUAACUUUCAGAGCAGUAUUUAUUCGACCUUCACUGCACACAAAAGCAAAGAAAUGUGAAAUGUGUUUGAGCCAUAGUGUGGGUAGGACAUUUGUGUCUAAAUCAUUCAAUCCCAAUAAAAGUUGCUUUAAUAAAAAAAAACUUAUUUUUAAUCAAAGAAAAAGAACCUUUUGCAAAAAUAUAUUUUUUUGAAAAUAUAUAUAUUUUUAAAUAUAUAUUUUUUUUAUUGACGUGUCACUUUUUUUUUAAAGGAAAAAGUUUAAAACUUUUUUUUUAAAGUGGAAAAAGUUUUGAACGCAUUUCUUUUUUUCUUUUUGAAGUGGAAAAGGUUUUAAAGGCACUUUUUUUUCCGAUUGAAUCAUUUUGACACAAAGAUACGACUUCAACGCUACUUCCGACAUGUUUGAGUGGCAGGUGACUACACCAAUGGCAUAAAAGAAUGACUAAUGGCCACCAGGGCUCCAUCGAGCCAUCGGACUCUGCUCGAGUCCAAGCCGAAAAUAGGGCACUGGUACGGGGGGGGUGACAUCGGCAUCUCACCGGAGUGCCCGCGCUGGUAUGGUGCGCUGCUGCUUAAUGUGAUUCAAGAGGGGAACUUCACCCACUGCCCUGACGUGACGGUUGGCAAUCGGGGUCCAACCGCAGUGUCGCGACGCGCCGGUAUGGGAGUGGCCGACGAGUGGCCCGACACUAGCCUGCCCAGUAGCCCGCGCCGGGAGCCCCGUCGCUUCAGCUUUGAAUGAGUUUCGUGUCAGUCGCGGGCCGUCUACUCAACAGCCGGCCUCCGCGCCGGGGUAGUGAUAUCGGGGUCCGCCAGUGUGCCGCAACAGGGCACCGUACCAUCGCCGGCACACCGGUGAGAUGCCGAUGUCACACCCCCGUACCGGUGCCCUAUUUUCGGCU